GAAUCUGACUAGUACCCAUGAGGAUGUGGUUUCCAUCCCUGGCCUCGCUCAGUGGGUUAAGGAUUUGGCAUUGCCAUGAGCUGUGGUGUAGGUCACAGAUGUGGCUUGGAUCAUGAGUUGCUGCGGCUGUGGUGUAGGUUGGCAGCUGUAGCUCUGAUUCGACCUCUAGCCUGGGGAACUUCCAUAUGCCAAAGGUACAACCCUAAAAAAAAAGUAUAAGAAGUUCCCCUGGGUGGGGGUCAAACUGGAGCUGCAGCUGCAAGCCUCCACUGGAUCCUUAUUCCACUGAGCAAGGCCAGGGAUUGAACCCGCAUCCUUAUGAAUACUAGUCAGGUUCUUAACCUGAUGAGCCACAAAGGAAAUUCCCAAUAAUAAUAAUAGCCAAUAUGUAUCUUGGAAAGGUUUUCAUAUAAGAAGAGAAAAGGUCUGAAACAGGACUCUAAGAUUAAGUUUAAACAUAAUGGCUGGAAUGCUCUUUAUACUCAGUUGCACAGUCAGAGUUCCAACAAAGCCCUUAUACAAUCACCCAGACUCAGGUGCAAAAGGAUGUUAGGUGAGCAUCUUUCCUCCAGUCCGGCCUAUGGCAACAUCCUAGAGUCACUGCCUGGGCCAGGCAGCCCCUUCCCACAGGCGUAAGGUCCCUGCUGAAGGAGAUCCCCUCAAGACCUGGUGCUGUGUGGGGUUCUUUUAGCCCCUAAGUUGUCAAGGUCCCCUGGCGUGCAGGUGAUAGAGGAAGAGACUGCUUUAGUGUAGAGAAACUGCCUGCUGCACUACACACCCAUGGGAAAUACAUUACGAGUGUUCCUCUGAAACACUCUGGAUUCCUGCCAGGCAGCAUCAAUCAGGCUUAUCAAGGUCGACCAAAGUAGAAAGAAGAAAGUGCCCAGACUUAACUUUCAACAUGGCAGACAGUUGAAAUAAUCUCACAUCAAGAAGGUGCUCCCCAAAAGCAGGCAAGAGCAGCUUAACCAUCUUACUAUUAAUAGGGCAUGAUUCCUUUGUUAGCUCUUCCACCUGCCCCUAAUGUUAAUUUGGGAGUUUCUUGUGUGAGGAGAAAGGAUCAGUUGAAUAUUAUUCUGAACAUUGGCCUUACUUUUUAAAUUUAUUAAUUAUUAUCCUGCCUCUUUAUUAAGCUUGAUCAUGGAUUUUUCUCUCUUACAUUGAAUUUAUGACUCUAAAAACAACUGAGACUUGCUACUGUAUCCUCAUUGGAGGAACCAUAAUCCUGUUCCAAAGGUCCUUGGGGGCUCAAAGUCCACACAAUAGAGCUGGUAUGUUUAAAGAGGUACACACAAGUGACAUGGUACUGACUUUGAGUUUUGCUUUAAGUUUGUACUCCUGAACCUAAGACUAUUAUAUUCUCUUCCAGUUAACCCU
This 1377-nucleotide long non-coding RNA is filed under the name Sus scrofa (pig). Its description in RNAcentral is "lncRNA (ENSSSCG00000059781.1)". The record is from RNAcentral. Lineage: Eukaryota; Metazoa; Chordata; Mammalia; Artiodactyla; Suidae.